GUGUCAGCCGCCGCGGUAAUACGGGGGGGGCAAGCGUUGUUCGGAAUUACUGGGCGUAAAGGGCUCGUAGGCGGCCAACUAAGUCAGACGUGAAAUCCCUCGGCUUAACCGGGGAACUGCAUCUGAUACUGGAUGGCUUGAGAUUGGGAGAGGGAUGCGGAAUUCCAGGUGUAGCGGUGAAAUGCGUAGAUAUCUGGAGGAACACCGGUGGCGAAGGCGGCAUCCUGGACCAACACUGACGCUGAGGAGCGAAAGCCAGGGGAGCAAACGGGAUUAGAAACCCCCGUAGUCC
Molecule: ribosomal RNA, 292 nt
Filed under: uncultured bacterium
Lineage: Bacteria
Description: partial 16S ribosomal RNA
Rfam family: Bacterial small subunit ribosomal RNA
Source: RNAcentral